RNAcentral lists this ribosomal RNA (274 nucleotides) under uncultured bacterium. RNAcentral describes it as "partial 16S ribosomal RNA". It matches the Rfam family "Bacterial small subunit ribosomal RNA", at positions 523 to 796 of the family's 1533-position model. The record is from RNAcentral.
AUACGAAGGGGGCUAGCGUUGUUCGGAAUUACUGGGCGUAAAGCGCGCGUAGGCGGACUGAUCAGUUGGGGGUGAAAUCCCAGGGCUUAACCCUGGAACUGCCUCCAAUACUGUCAGUCUUGAGUUCGGGAGAGGUGAGUGGAAUUCCUAGUGUAGAGGUGAAAUUCGUAGAUAUUAGGAAGAACACCAGUGGCGAAGGCGGCUCACUGGCCCGAUACUGACGCUGAGACGCGAAAGCGUGGGGAGCAAACAGGAUUAGAAACCCCAGUAGUCC